Molecule: long non-coding RNA, 3034 nt
Organism: Aethalodelphis obliquidens (Pacific white-sided dolphin)
Lineage: Eukaryota; Metazoa; Chordata; Mammalia; Artiodactyla; Delphinidae
Exons: 2
Source: RefSeq, a predicted model, not a curated record
CCCCUGCAUCGGCAGGCGGACUCUCAACCACUGCGCCACCAGGGAAGCCCAGUAUUUGCAUACAGUGGAAGAUUAAGAAAUACUUGAAGAUUAAUUGUCACACCUGGAGCCAAACUCCUACCCCCCUCUGAGCCUGCCCCUCACCUCCUGAGGCUACAAGGACAGAAUGACAAGGAGAAAUCAGAAAUGUGCCUUAAGAUGAAUAGCAAAUGGAACUGGACAGCAGGUGGGGUCAGAUUCACUAGAAAGCCAAGUGUUGCUUUGCCUAAAUUUUCAGGGAUAUUUUUAUAGGCUUCUGGGGCACUAGAUUGAAGAGCCCACAGAGCUUUGCACCAGCUAAAGAAAAUACAGAAUUCAUAAAUGGGUACAAAAUGUAUCAUGAUGCUAACCGGCACCUGCCACUGACCUGGACGUAGUUUUUAGGAGUCUUUCAAUCCCAAGAGCAAAAGAUUCUGUUCUUAACAAAAUCGAUAAUUGCACAUUUAAUUUUUGAACAUUUCAAAAAUUAAAUGUAUAUAUAUUAUAUGUGUAUUAUAGAUAGAUAGAUAAAUUUACAGAGCUGUUAUUACACCUGGUCAUUAACACAAACGAGACAUUCAUUGAAACGCUAACAUUCAUUGCAAAGGUAUUUACAUGAAUUUACAAAUGCCCUGGACCUCUCUUGAUCUAGAAGAAAAUAGCAGAAGCUUCUUAUUUUGAAAAAUGCGUGGAACUCAGGCUGAUAAGAAACCUUUCAUGCAUUCAUGAAUGCUAACUAGGAAGAUAGUUGCGAACAUUCCAGAUGUUUAUUCCUGUCUCUCUCUCUCACCUCCCCCCCUUGCGUGCUCCUUGAUAACCAAGAUGGAACUUGGAAAGCUCUUUUAUGAAGCUGUCCCAUUGUAUGCUAAGUUAUGGUGGGCUCCAGACUGAUCCCCUGACAAAAGUCCUUUGUUUGGGGAUUCCCUCUAUAAACUGGGACUCAGUGAAUUAUGCUGCUUCUAGGAAGCUUUCCGCGGCUGAUUAUAUUUACCUAAGCAAGCAUUAUUUUCUGUCUUGUUCUCUUCUUUUUCUCAAGCAUAAUUCAGAUCUCAGGAAAGCAUGAGAAAUAUAAGGCACUUGCUAGCCAAACAACGAGGUAUUUCCGGCUCCUCUACUCUGAAAAUGAUUGAGGCGUUUUUCGUAACAAGCAUGUGCCGCUUUUUAAAAAAUUGUAUUUUUCGAUAGAAUGUUUCCCCUGAGUACUAGGUUUGUGGGCUACGAAGUAGAUGAAACGUCCUGAUUUGGACAUAUUUUCCUUGUCUGCUGUUUCUGUUCACUUUUAGUUUUACUUAGUGUUAUUUCCACAGUUGAGGGGUGGGGAAAAGAAGCAUGAAAACAGCUAUUUCCUAUUCAUCAUUUUAAUCCUAGAAUAAGAUCUUUAUUGUUUUUUAAAUGAGAUGGGGGGAUGGUUUAAGAGGAAGAUUACAAAGAUUUUUAUUUGGGGUACUCUCUUUAAAGAAAACUAGUGGGACCUUUAAGAAAAAAGGUCGAGUCACAUAAAAUGAGAGAAGCAAAGGACAAAAUGGUAAUAAAGGGGGGGGCAUUGGGGGAUGUGCGUGUUCCGUUAGGACGGGGACGGUCUCUCUUCUUCCAUGCAAAGCAGCCUUCUUUUCGUGAGAAACCAACUCCCUGGGUUAUUAGAUUCACAAUGAGUUCCCCAGAUGUAGUUCCCAGGAGUAAGGAUUCUCAGAGGAAUAAAGAGAACCCUAGAGGCUUCUGUUUGUUUUGUUUUGUUCUUGUUUUAGUAAAGUUUUGGCGAGGUAAUGCUUCCAAGUGGUUCAGAAAUCACAAGAGUAUAACAAACAGUGAAAAGUCUCUCUUAACUGCUGUUCUGCAGUCACCUGUUUGCCUUCUCAGAGUCAACCCCUUCUAGUUUAUUUGGUGCGUUAUAAUAUCGGGAGAUGUAUUGUGCGUGCAUCAGCAAAUAUAAACAUAUAUUCCUUUUCCAACUUUCCUUACACAGCGUUAACGUACCUUACAGAUUGUUUGGCACUUUCUCCCAUGGACGACACGUUGAUCUUGGCCAUUGUUUCAUCUCAGUACACAGAGCGCUCAUCAAUCUUUUCUAUGGCUGCAUACUGUUCCACUGUAAAUGUACCUUAACCUAUUUAACCGUCCCCAGUUGAUGGGCGUUUAGGUCGCCUUUGAUCUCUUGCUAUUACAAACAGUGCUGCCUUGGCUCAUCUUGAUGGGACGUCAUUUCACACAUGUGUGAGUAAUUCUGCAGGGGCGGCCCUCCAAGUGGAAAUGGUGGGUCAAAGAGUUUGUUAUUAGCCCGUGGGUGGAGAGGGAAGACUUGAGAUGUUCGUUGUUAUUUAUAGGGCUAGGUUUUCAUGCCUUCUUUUUUUCCCUACCUUAAUAUUUACAUUUAGGUUACCCAAAUAAUACAUGAACACGUUCUCCCUGUAGCUUAAACCAAUAAACAAACAAUCCAGAAGGAUACAUGGUAAAAUGUGAAAGUCCCCUUUGAAUUCUCAACGCCCUACCCUUCACCUCCACAUUCUCCUUCUCAAAAGCAAUUCCCCUUCUCAGAGUUAACCACUGUGAGAUAGUGCACGUAAUUCCAGACCUGUCUAUGCAUUUACAUUUCGAUUCACAUACCUAUUUCUGUGUAGGUCCAGAUAGAUAGAAUACACAAAUAGGUGUUCAUAUGGGUAUAUAUAAAUAGAAAAGCUUACCAUAGUGCUUGUGAAACUUUUACGUGCUGAAAACUCACCUAUGGAUUUUGUUAAAAUGCAGGAUCUGCGGGAAUUCCCUGGCGGUGCAGUGGUUAGGACCCGGCGCUUUCACUGCUGGGCCGGGUUCAGUCCCUGGUCAGGGAACUAAGAUCCUACAAGCUGCGUGGUGUAGCCAAAAAAGAGGGGAAAAAAAAAGGCAGGAUCUAAUUCAGUGUGUCUGGGGUGAGAGCUGAGCUUCCCCGUUUCUAACAGUCUCCUAGAUGCUGCUGAUACUGCUGAAUUUGGGUAUCUUUUUGGUUUUUAUUUGUUUUGUUUUUCUAUAAAUGAAAGCAUACCUA